Molecule: long non-coding RNA, 1278 nt
Filed under: Homo sapiens (human)
Lineage: Eukaryota; Metazoa; Chordata; Mammalia; Primates; Hominidae
Description: long intergenic non-protein coding RNA 1192
Source: RNAcentral
AGAGAUGAUCCCUGCAACAUGCUGCUGUUGCUGGGAGUGGGAAAGAGGUGGCAUCGGCGGUUCAAGACUGAGUUUUCUAUCUCUUCAGUGCCUCUUUCAACAAUGAAGAUCAAACCAGGUUUUGUGCAAAUAUCUGCUGAGUGAACUACUUAUUUGAAAAUACAUCAUUGGUUAAUAUUCCCUUUUGCUCAUUGAAAUCUCAAAGACUACAGACCCCGCACAAGACAUUCUGACAUUCCCGUCUUUGAAAUGAAUGACAGCAAUGAUAAAUAUGGCUCACCUCCAGAGAUACAGAUCUCACAACUUCAUAUUUUUAAUAUAAAUUAUUAAUCUGAGGUGUGGUGCAAUUCCAUUAGAUGAAAGAGAUCUACACAUUCAGAAGCACAUGAUUCUUCCCCCUUCCAUGAUUCCAGUGGCCAAUAGAAUGGAGUGUAGUGGCGUGAUCUUGGCUCACAACAACUUCUGCUUCCCACAUUCAAGCGAUCCUCCCACCUUAUACUCCUGAGUAGCUGGAACCACAGACAAACUACAAUAAAGCCAUGCCCUGACUGGAUGUGCCUAACAUUUGUCUGGUGCUUAAAGGAGUUGGCUGCAUGCGUGGGAUGGAGAAGGAUUCAACAUUUAAUGGCAGUUAGAAUCAAAUUUUUAACUCAAGAAGGCAGAAGGAAUCCACCUAAAUAAAUGUUGGAAAGUCACCAAAAAUAGUUCUCCAAGUCAGAAGCGGUGCAAAAGCUGCCUCAGCUCUUGGUGGAUUUUCAAUUUCUCCCAGCCAUCUCUGUUUCGCUAAAGGUUUCUGAAGACAGUGGAUAAUGAAGAUAUUAUACCAUUAUAUGCUCUUGAAUCUGUCUCAUUGUGACUUGGCGAAGAGGCAGUGAAUCUGCCAAAAAGAAGUAGAGCAGCUGUGAAGAUGCCAACACAAUUGAGUACUCUUUCUCUACAUAUUUCUAAAUAUGGCAAUUUAUUGGACACUUAUGAGCAUGGAAUGACAAUGGGGUCAAUUUAACCAUACGGCAAUGCUGAGACACCUUCAUUAUGACCUUUCCCUGGUAUAAGUUAUGUGAUAAUGAAUGCAUGUUUAGUCACACACUGUAGGUACAGAUGGGAAAAAAGAAAGCAUAAAAUAUAAAACAUGAUGUCCAGGUUUCAAAUAAGAAUUCUAAAAUGUUAUUUAAUUAAUGAAAUGAAAAUACUUUACUUUAGAAAAAGAAUAUUGAAUCUCUUUGAUGUAUAAAAUGUAUAUUUCAAAUUAAAAAUUCAAAAGAAACAAAUUAGAUAUAA